CACGCUGUACCAGCUGCGGCACUGAUAACGGGGCGGACUGCGCGAGGGGCGGGAUGAGGAGAGCAGCGGAGGAGGCCGUCCGCGCCGCAGUGAACGGGGGGAUGGCUGCAGGAGCACUGCCUGGUACAAGGCGGCAGGUAUCCACCUGGGGUCUUUCAAGUUCUCUGGUUACUGGGCACAUUUCUGAACGUACCACAGUGCCCGAGGUUCGAGGCACAUCACACAGCAUGAAGCACCAGAGCUCAGAAUCAGCAGCAGGUUUAGUAUCAUUGUCUUGUACGACAUGAAUUUGUCGGCACUGAGGAUCAUUACCACAUUCCGUACGAUGUCAACGCUCCUUCCUGAGAGACUUUUAGCCUGCAAGUUUAACCGCACCGUUAUCGCGCUCCCUGUCACACAAUAACUAUCCGACUUCUGUGGCGGCGAUUCUCGACCAGAAACUUCCCUGGUUAUUCGGUAUCACUUGGAAAAUCCGACCAGGCGCUUUGUGUCGCUAGUCAGCAGACAGGACCACCUCACCAGGGGCAAAAGGGGUUCGUUUUCCAUAGACUGUUGCCCACCAUCACUCCCGUCCAUCUCCAUCUGGGCAAAACCCUCAUCCCGCUACCUCUGCGGAGAACCAUCACCCCUUACACAAGAGAAUCCGCGGAGGAUCUUGACCUCUUGCUCCCUUCUCCUCCCCGCACCUUCUGACAGCGGAGAGGGCUUCCAGCCUUGCCGGAACGUUCUGCUCGGGUCUCUGGGCUGGGAUCGCGCUUCACGGAGCAGAAGCUCCAGCCAGCCGGUGCGGAGCUGACGAAAAUGGAGCGUGAACAAAGCAGCAGCACACUGCCGACAAAUCGCCAGCCCUGCCUCUGGCUGGAGGAUCGUCCACGCAGAACAGUCUCCCGGAAUCCCGAGGAUAGGCAGCGGGGAAAAUUCAUCCUCAGAACACACACACACAAUCUGCGAUGAGCUGCAGACUACCCAGUGCUGGCCUCUCCAGCAAAAGCAAGGGGCAGAGGGAUGGGGAUGUGGA
Mobula hypostoma (lesser devil ray) is the source of this 1018-nucleotide RNA transcript. It is a transcript of the gene named late histone H2B.L4-like, with no coding region annotated. The transcript is spliced from 2 exons. Lineage: Eukaryota; Metazoa; Chordata; Chondrichthyes; Myliobatiformes; Myliobatidae. The record is from RefSeq and is a predicted model, not a curated record.